AUGGGAGCAGCAGGUCUUAGCGCAGAAAGGCCUUGGCGCAAACUUGGGGCAGAGGGACCCAAGCCCAGCUUGGUUCACCCGGUGCGAUGUCCCGGGAGGGGUGGUCAGAGCCUGGGCUGUUUCCAGUGGGGACGCCUGGGCUGUCCCCGUGGGCCCAGCACCCUCCUGACAGCCUCUUGCCUUGGCAGUCAUCACCUCCAAGGACCUCCAGAAGCACGGCAACAUCUGGGUCUGCCCUGUCUCGGAUCAUGUCUGCACCCGCUUCUUCUUUGUGUACGAAGAUGGCCAAGUGGGAGAUGCCAAUAUCAAUACUCAGGACCCCAAAAUCCAGAAGGAGAUCAUGCGUGUGAUUGGGACUCAGGUGUACACAAACUGAGCGGCAGGGACCCGCCACGGUCCUCUCACAGGGGCCAAAAGGCGUCCGAGGCCGGAGGCGAGUGGAGCAGCGAAGGCUCUGGAAGAGGCCRGGGAAGGGGGAGCGGGUCUCGCGCCUCCCGGGAUCAGGGCAGCGCCGCGCAGCUCUGGGCAGCGGAGACGCGGGAGCCCGGCACCGGCGGGCUCCAUCCUGUAUAUAGGUGUAAAGCAGAGAGUGUGCACGAGGCGGAUUUAGCGGUCCCUUCUCCCCUGUCCCUCCGAUGUCCCUAAUCCCAUCCCAGAGUGGAGAAGGACCUGUGGGCAGGGCCUGGCUUGCGUGCCCGCUGCCUGGGGGCGGACAUCCCUCCUCGCGUUUACAGUGAUGAUGUUUUUACCAACGAUGACGAGAAACCGAAGCAAAAAAAAAAAGAAAAACACACACAAAAAAAGAGAAAAGAAAUCCGUUUUAGCUUAUUAAAAUUCUUUAAAAAACAUUCUGGGCUGGGUGUGCCGCUCUCUGCCAGCCUAGCUGGUGAUGGGGCGGCAUGGCAGUGUCCUGUCCCCCUGCCCCGGCUCAUUUUGGACCCAUGGGCGAGAYGGCUGCAGCCAGCCCUCUGGGCACAGCAGCAUCGCAGCUCAGUGGGCAGGGAGAUGGGCACAGGGGUGGUGGCCUUCACAGCUCUGGAGUUCAUGCCCACUUUGGGUUUCCUAAGGGAGCAGGUCUCCUCAUGCUUCGAUCAUGGCCCAGACUCCAUGGCAUGGGCUGGGGAGCCAGGCGUCGGGCUGGGCAACUGCCCCAGGCCACGGCAAGAGGUCUAGGGUUCUUCUGCCCAGCAAAGGGAGAUGGUCUGAGAGCCAUGCUGGCUGCAUCCAGUGCUCCUCCGACCCCCAUCCCUCCACGCACCCACCUCCCAAGGUCCCCAUCGUGGAGCCAGGCAUCUCUGAGCGCCUCGGCCGCCAGCUCCAGCUCUCCAGMAGCCUGUCCCCAGCACCCUGGGGUGCCGGAAAUCUCUGUGCCGUCACUGAGAAGGGAUGGGGCCACUGCAAGGUGUCAUGCCAUAAGGAAGGGGUCUCACCAUGGAGAAAGCAUGGUGCCACAGGGAAGGGCUGGCUCCGUGGAGAGGCUCUGGUGCUGUGCAGAAGGCACCACACCAUAGGGCAGCGAUCAUGCCAUGGGGAAGGGACUACACCAUGGAGCAGGGAUCGUGUCACAGGGAAAGGACGGCAUUAUGGAGAAGGGAUCACAUCAUGGAGCAGGGAUUGCACCACGGGGAAGGGUCAUGCCACGGGG
RNAcentral lists this long non-coding RNA (1645 nucleotides) under Apteryx haastii (Great spotted kiwi). RNAcentral's name for it is "lncRNA (ENSAHAG00000010725.1)". Lineage: Eukaryota; Metazoa; Chordata; Aves; Apterygiformes; Apterygidae. The record is from RNAcentral.